GACGAACGCUGGCGGCGCGCUUAACACAUGCAAGUCGAACGGAAAGGCCUGCUUUCCCUUGUGGAUUGCGGGUACUCGAGUGGCGAACGGGUGAGUAACACGUGAGUGAUCUGCCCCCAACUUGGGUAUAAGCCUGGGAAACUGGGUCUAAUUCCCGAUAGGACUGCAGGGUGGUGCCUGUGGUGGAAAACGAUUUUCUAGUGGUUGGGGAUGAGCUCGCGGCCUAUCAGCUUGUUGGUGGGGUAAUGGCCUACCAAGGCGGCGACGGGUAGCCGGCCUGGGAGGGUGGACGGCCACAUUGGGACUGGGAUACGGCCCAGACUCCUACGGGAGGCAGCAGUGGGGAAUAUUGCACAAUGGGCGGAAGCCUGAUGCAGCGACGCCGGGUGGGGGAUGACGGCCUUCGGGUUGUAAACUCCUUUCGACCGCGAGGAAGCCACCUGGUUGGAAGGGUGGUGACGGUAGUGGUAGAAGAAGCACCGGCUAACUACGUG
This 494-nucleotide ribosomal RNA is filed under the name uncultured bacterium. RNAcentral describes it as "partial 16S ribosomal RNA". It matches the Rfam family "Bacterial small subunit ribosomal RNA", at positions 28 to 507 of the family's 1533-position model. The record is from RNAcentral.